CCUACGGGUGGCUGCAGUGGGGAAUAUUGCACAAUGGGGGAAACCCUGAUGCAGCGACGCCGCGUGAGUGAAGAAGUAUUUCGGUAUGUAAAGCUCUAUCAGCAGGGAAGAAAAAAGACGGUACCUGACUAAGAAGCACCGGCUAACUACGUGCCAGCAGCCGCGGUAAUACGUAGGGGGCAAGCGUUAUCCGGAUUUAUUGGGUGUAAAGGGUGAGUAGACGGCGCGGCAAGUCUGAUGUGAAAGGCAGGGGCUGAACACCUGAACUGCCGCUGAAACUGCAGUGCUAGAGUUCGGAAGAGGCAAGUGGAAUGUGUAGUGUAGCGGUGAAAUGCAUAGAUAUUAGAAAGAACACCAAUGGCGAAGGCAGCUUGCUGGGCCGGAUCUGACACUGAGGCACGAAAGCGUGGGGAGCGAACAGGAUUAGAUACCCCAGUAGUC
This 441-nucleotide ribosomal RNA is filed under the name uncultured bacterium. RNAcentral describes it as "partial 16S ribosomal RNA". It matches the Rfam family "Bacterial small subunit ribosomal RNA", at positions 338 to 795 of the family's 1533-position model. The record is from RNAcentral.